RNAcentral lists this ribosomal RNA (454 nucleotides) under marine sediment bacterium ISA-2740. RNAcentral describes it as "bacterial SSU rRNA". It matches the Rfam family "Bacterial small subunit ribosomal RNA", at positions 17 to 466 of the family's 1533-position model. The record is from RNAcentral.
UCCUGGCUCAGAUUGAACGCUGGCGGCAGGCCUAACACAUGCAAGUCGAGCGGUAACAUUUCUAGCUUGCUAGAAGAUGACGAGCGGCGGACGGGUGAGUAAUGCUUGGGAACAUGCCUUUAGGUGGGGGACAACAGUUGGAAACGACUGCUAAUACCGCAUAAUGUCUACGGACCAAAGUGGGGGACCUUCGGGCCUCACGCCUAAAGAUUGGCCCAAGUGGGAUUAGCUAGUUGGUGAGGUAAUGGCUCACCAAGGCGACGAUCCCUAGCUGGUUUGAGAGGAUGAUCAGCCACACUGGGACUGAGACACGGCCCAGACUCCCUACGGGAGGCAGCAGUGGGGAAUAUUGCACAAUGGGCGCAAGCCUGAUGCAGCCAUGCCGCGUGUGUGAAGAAGGCCUUCGGGUUGUAAAGCACUUUCAGUAAGGAGGAAAGGUUGGAUGUUAAUAGCA